Phyllostomus discolor (pale spear-nosed bat) is the source of this 131-nucleotide long non-coding RNA. RefSeq lists it as uncharacterized. The transcript has 3 exons. Lineage: Eukaryota; Metazoa; Chordata; Mammalia; Chiroptera; Phyllostomidae. The record is from RefSeq and is a predicted model, not a curated record.
UUAACAGGACAGGGUCCUUGUGCUCCUCAGGGUUGGAGUUGUUGCUUGUGAUGUUGGGUUUGGGUAACGCCAGGUACACAUGGAGCUGUCCAGUUGCUUCUUCACUCUAUAAAUUUUUUUUUUUACUUGUA